GCCUGAGUGGUGGAACUGGUAGACGCGCUGCGUUCAGGGCGCAGUGGGGAUUCCCCGUGGGGGUUCAAAUCCCCCCUCAGGCA
This 83-nucleotide transfer RNA is filed under the name Candidatus Latescibacterota bacterium. Its description in RNAcentral is "Candidatus Latescibacteria bacterium tRNA-Leu". It matches the Rfam family "tRNA". From Rfam's summary of the family: Transfer RNA (tRNA) molecules are approximately 80 nucleotides in length. RNAcentral also lists the same sequence under 3 other names. The record is from RNAcentral. Lineage: Bacteria; Pseudomonadati; Candidatus Latescibacterota.